UAGUAACGGCGAGUGAAGCGGCAACAGCUCAAAUUUGAAAUCUGGCGUCUUCGGCGUCCGAGUUGUAAUUUGCAGAGGGCGCUUUGGCAUUGGCAGCGGUCCAAGUUCCUUGGAACAGGACGUCACAGAGGGUGAGAAUCCCGUACGUGGUCGCUAGCCUUUACCGUGUAAAGCCCCUUCGACGAGUCGAGUUGUUUGGGAAUGCAGCUCUAAAUGGGAGGUAAAUUUCUUCUAAAGCUAAAUACUGGCCAGAGACCGAUAGCGCACAAGUAGAGUGAUCGAAAGAUGAAAAGCACUUUGGAAAGAGAGUUAAAAAGCACGUGAAAUUGUUGAAAGGGAAGCGCUUGCAGCCAGACUUGCCUGUAGUUGCUCAUCCGGGUUUCUACCCGGUGCACUCUUCUAUAGGCAGGCCAGCAUCAGUUUGGGCGGUUGGAUAAAGGUCUCUGUCAUGUACCUCCUUUCGGGGAGAUCUUAUAGGGGAGACGACAUGCAACCAGCCUGGACUGAGGUCCGCGCAUCUGCUAGGAUGCUGGCGUAAUGGCUGUAAGCGGCCCGUCUUGAAACACGGACCAAGGAGUCUAACAUCUAUGCGAGUGUUUGGGUGUCAAGCCCGAACGCGUAAUGAAAGUGAACGGAGGUGGGAACCUUUCGGGGUGCACCAUCGACCGAUCCUGAUGUCUUCGGAUGGAUUUGAGUAAGAGCAUAGCUGUUGGGACCCGAAAGAUGGUGAACUAUGCUUGAAUAGGGUGAAGCCAGAGGAAACUCUGGUGGAGGCUCGCAGCGGUUCUGACGUGCAAAUCGAUCGUCAAAUUUGGGCAUAGGGGCGAAAGACUAAUCGAACUAUCUAGUAGCUGGUUCCUGCCGAAGUUUCCCUCAGGAUAGCAGUAACGUUUUCAGUUUUAUGAGGUAAAGCGAAUGAUUAGAGGCCUGGGGGUUGAAACAACCUU
Molecule: ribosomal RNA, 947 nt
Filed under: Stagonosporopsis citrulli
Lineage: Eukaryota; Fungi; Ascomycota; Dothideomycetes; Pleosporales; Didymellaceae
Description: partial large subunit ribosomal RNA
Rfam family: Eukaryotic large subunit ribosomal RNA
Source: RNAcentral